RNAcentral lists this long non-coding RNA (569 nucleotides) under Homo sapiens (human). Its description in RNAcentral is "GCC2 antisense RNA 1 (GCC2-AS1)". Lineage: Eukaryota; Metazoa; Chordata; Mammalia; Primates; Hominidae. The record is from RNAcentral.
AUUUCAGCACCCCAGGCUAGUCUGGGAGGCUGGCGCAAACGCAGCGGGUGGCUGGGGUAGGGGCUCAUUGGGAGCCCACGGAGCGCGGCGGCGGCUCGGGGGCCGAGUUCCCUACAACAAGGAUGGCGGUGACGGGCGCAGGGAGCGGGGCCCGGCUCUCCUUGCCUCGAGGCUCCUCUGAUUCCACUCGCGUGGCUGCGCGGCCCUGGCAGCGGCCUUCGUCCCGGGGGUGGGAGCUACACAGGGUUCCGCCCCGUCCUGGCGAGGACGCCUGAGGGGGCUCUGUGGUAAGGCUCUGUCGGGCAGGCCGGGCUUCCGGGAGGACCUGGUCUGGAUCGGUCACCGCUGGGUGCCUGAGCUCCGCAUGGAGCCUGCAGCCUUUGUUUAACUUAUAAAGAAAUGGGGGCUCCGAGCAGUCAAGAAGAACAUGCCCCAAGUUAUUCGUCAGUGAGGCGGAAAUUGUGGUGUACUUGUUCCAGACCAACUAUGAAGAUAGGAUGCCCAUCCAGAAGAACGGGAAGCAUUUUCUUCCUCACCUUUGGAAAGUAAAACAAAAAAAAAAAGAAAAA